This is a long non-coding RNA of Oryzias latipes (Japanese medaka), 1479 nucleotides long. RefSeq lists it as uncharacterized. The record is from RefSeq and is a predicted model, not a curated record. Lineage: Eukaryota; Metazoa; Chordata; Actinopteri; Beloniformes; Adrianichthyidae.
GGCCAGCUUUGUUUUCAGAAAGACAGAUUGGUGCUGAGUUCACACGUCUAGUAUCUGCUGACCUUCUGAAGUCCUUCCUGAGUGGACUUGAUCGAUAUUUGCCAAGACUGAUCAACUUGUAUGAAGCACAAAAGCAACGGAAAACAAAUCUGGGACAUGAUGCCAAGCUCCAGAGUCUUCUUGUGUCUUUUGAUUCUGUUAAGUCCAACCAGAACAGGAGAUCCACUGCACUUCUUGUACUUCCAUUCAUCUUAAAAGAAGAUCUCUCAAACUUCAUUAAGUUCUCAGAGGUAAGAUUGACACACUCCCAGUAUUGAUAUAAUGCAUGAUGUUAAAAUUUAAAGGACAUUCCUUCAAAAGUCUCACUAUGUGUAUUGAUGUGAAGAUCUGUAGAGUUUUCUCCCCAUGUAUAUUGGUGACCAUCUUUAACCCCUGCAGAUAAAAGGCUGAAGCACAGACGUCAGAAGAAAUAACCUAAACAAAACACAUUUUGAAUGCUAGGGUUAUACAGUAUAUACACAUUUUGUUCUCCUUUUUUUACUUUAGACCAUGGACGCUGCAGAGGUCCCAGCAGAGACGAAAGAAUUGAGUGUUGGCCUACUAGUCACCACAGACCAAAACACGGAUAUGACGGAUCAGUCAAAGAACGUUGUGAAUGUUUCCAUAAUCUUGGAGGGGUGCAUCGUUUUGCGGGAGUUGCGAGAUCUACCAAAUGGCUUUGCAGUGCUGAUCGGACUACUUUACUGCCUCAACAUCGAUUAUCCAAAGGAACUGAAGUACACCUUCGAAUUCAUCCAAAAGGUAAUCAUGGAUAUUGGGGGUAGUGCAUGCUCUGCUCGCGUUCAUGGACUGCGGAACAAACUGCUUCAGGGAACGAUGUAGAGACGUUCUUCAGAAAAAAAGCAGGGGCCACAUUAUUUUUGUUUGAGUUUUCUACAGUUGGAAUUUACAUUUUUGUAAACUGUUUAGGAGUCUCUGUUUAUGGAAAGAUGCAAAAAUGUUCUGCACAAAUUCCUGUGUUAGUUCAGUUGGACUUGUUUUUGACACAUUUGCAAAAUGUGUAAUUGUAAACUUUGAAGUGUACUGUUUAGGAGAAAGCAAGUUAUUUGUUCUGUUUUGUGACACACAGACACACGCACACCGAAACAUCAUCCCGCACGGUGACAUGUUGUGAAAAAAAAUUGUUUUUUUGUUUUUCUAUUCUUUUUUUUCUAUUUUUCAGUUGUGUUACAGUGUUUGAAAUGGUAAGCCAACUGGUAUUACUACGUGCAAUGAUACUCUGCGUAUAUCUCCAUAAAAUUUUACAACAAACAUUGACACAUACGUGAGUUUUAAACGUUGUUCUUUUCCUUGUUUCAAAAAGAUAAUUUUAUACUGUUUCAAUAACAAUGCUUUUGAAAUAAAAUUUUUCACAAAUGAUUGAGAUUGUCUUUAAUCUAAAGUUAUGUAGUGGAUUUAAUUUAGCAUUUCUCAUUACUU